GGCCAGGUGCAAGAUCGAUCAGUCAAGAAAUCCUCAUUACACGGUUCCGCGGCAUGGAACUGGCGAUGCCGCUCCGGAAACGGAAAUCACUCUGCCGAGGAACCGAGAAAUUCCGUAAAAUUUCGCCUCCCCUUAUCGCCUCUCCGAUCCAAACGCGAUUAUGAUCAUAAUGAUCGUGCAAAUUUCCCGCAGUAGGUUAAUUAUUAAUUUCUCGUGUUUCUUUCCCCUCCCCAGAGGAACCGUCACGACGUAUCUACCGUGAACGCGUUUUUACCUCCCCAGCAAUAUCGUGCACCGCAAAUUAUAAAAAUACAGAACGACAGGACCUCGGGACAACCAUUACACAGAGACAAAACGCAGUCAAAAACUUCCACGUACUCCACUGAUCCCAAGAAAAAAACGGGAAAAAGCAGAGAGGUCUUCGAAGUCGAUCGCGAUAUGAUAGCCCCGACUUUACGAACGAAUUCACGCAUUAGUAGCGAAAGCAUGCCUACAUCGCAAAUUAGAGAGGCCUACAAGAAGAUUAUUAUUCCUUCAUGGCGAUUUCGAGUUGGAAGCGCGAGAAUAAGGAGGGACACGUGAGAUUUUUAACGAAUUUUCCGAAGGAUUUCGAACAUUUUACAGCCGCGUAUUUUUUGACGAAUAGUACUUUUGUUAAGGUGCAUAAGUUUCCCGAGACAAUCGGGGAUUAACCUUCUUAAAUCACGAGUUUACAUACAUCUCUGUCAAUUAAAAGAUAUUAGCUACAUAUCUUUGUAUUAGAA
Harpegnathos saltator (Jerdon's jumping ant) is the source of this 764-nucleotide long non-coding RNA. RefSeq lists it as uncharacterized. The transcript is spliced from 3 exons. The record is from RefSeq and is a predicted model, not a curated record. Lineage: Eukaryota; Metazoa; Arthropoda; Insecta; Hymenoptera; Formicidae.